UUUACUUGAAAGCUUUGAAGGUCUACUCCACAAAAUUGUUUGUGUUUACUUUGAGUUAAUUGUAUCCUAAGAGGUAACAUCAACUCAAAGUUUGAUUUGGAAAAAAUUGAGGAGGUAAAAAUAGUGGGAGGUGAAAAAGAAGUUGAAAUUUCAAAAGUAAAAAAUGGAGUUAUGAAAGAUGGUUGGAUGUAUUGAGAAAAGUUUAAGGAUUGGAAAAAUCCCCUCAUCAUCUUAAUCUCAACCUUAAUUGUGGGAGUGGUAGGGUGCUUUAGCAACUCUUCCUCUUCUUCUUUUAUCUCAAUCUCUUCUUUUUCUCUCUUUUCUUUCUCAUUCCAUUCUUUUAUCUUUUUCUCUUCAUACUCUCUUUUUCUUUUCUCCUCCUUUUUCUCUCUUCUUACUUGCUCCUCUCUCUUUCUUUGUUCUUUCUCUCUUUUUUCAUGCUCCUCUUUCUCCCUUUGUCCUUUCUUCUUUCUUUUGUCUUCCUCUCUUCUUCUCUUUAUCUUCCUUAAAUCCUUUUGGACUUUUUCUUGUUUUUUAUUAAGAAUUCUAAGCUCUUCUUCCAACUUAGCAAGAUACUCUUUUCUUUUAAUUCUUUCUUUUUCUUUGAGAAGGGUUUCUUGCCUUUGCCAAAUCUUAAG
RNAcentral lists this long non-coding RNA (638 nucleotides) under Vigna radiata. Its description in RNAcentral is "long non-coding RNA (VRAD_LNC001843)". The record is from RNAcentral. Lineage: Eukaryota; Viridiplantae; Streptophyta; Magnoliopsida; Fabales; Fabaceae.